This 74-nucleotide transfer RNA is filed under the name Candidatus Kaiserbacteria bacterium RIFCSPHIGHO2_02_FULL_49_11. RNAcentral's name for it is "tRNA-Gly". It matches the Rfam family "tRNA". Rfam says of the family: Transfer RNA (tRNA) molecules are approximately 80 nucleotides in length. Their secondary structure includes four short double-helical elements and three loops (D, anti-codon, and T loops). Lineage: Bacteria; Candidatus Kaiseribacteriota. The record is from RNAcentral. RNAcentral also lists the same sequence under 8 other names.
GCGGGAUUAGUUUAAUGGUAAAACGUCAGUUUUCCAAACUGAGGUUGGGAGUUCGAUUCUCCCAUCCCGCACAA